RNAcentral lists this ribosomal RNA (448 nucleotides) under uncultured bacterium. RNAcentral describes it as "bacterial SSU rRNA". It matches the Rfam family "Bacterial small subunit ribosomal RNA", at positions 329 to 792 of the family's 1533-position model. The record is from RNAcentral.
UGCCAGACUCCUACGGGAGGCAGCAGUGGGGGAUAUUGCACAAUGGGGGGAACCCUGAUGCAGCGACGCCGCGUGAGUGAAGAAGUACUUCGUUAUGUAAAGCUCUAUCAGCAGGGAAGAAUAAAUGACGGUACCUGAGUAAGAAGCCCCGGCUAACUACGUGCCAGCAGCCGCGGUAAUACGUAGGGGGCAAGCGUUAUCCGGAUUUACUGGGUGUAAAGGGAGCGUAGACGGCGAUGCAAGCCAGAUGUGAAAGCCCGCGGCUCAACUGCGGUAGUGCAUUUGGAACUGUAUGGCUGGAGUGCAGGAGAGGCAGGCGGAAUUCCUAGUGUAGCGGUGAAAUGCGUAGAUAUUAGGAGGAACACCAGUGGCGAAGGCGGCUUACUGGACUGUAACUGACGUUGAGGCUCGAAAGCGUGGGGAGCAAACAGGAUUAGAUACCCCAGUA